UACGUAGGGUGCAAGCGUUAAUCGGAAUUACUGGGCGUAAAGCGUGCGCAGGCGGUUUUGUAAGUCAGAUGUGAAAUCCCCGAGCUCAACUUGGGAACUGCGUUUGAAACUACAAGACUAGAAUAUGUCAGAGGGGGGUAGAAUUCCACGUGUAGCAGUGAAAUGCGUAGAGAUGUGGAGGAAUACCAAUGGCGAAGGCAGCCCCCUGGGAUAAUAUUGACGCUCAUGCACGAAAGCGUGGGGAGCAAACAGG
This 253-nucleotide ribosomal RNA is filed under the name uncultured bacterium. RNAcentral's name for it is "partial 16S ribosomal RNA". It matches the Rfam family "Bacterial small subunit ribosomal RNA", at positions 524 to 776 of the family's 1533-position model. The record is from RNAcentral.